AUAAUGGGUCAGCGACUUAUAUUCUGUAGCAAGGUUAACCGAAUAGGGGAGCCGAAGGGAAACCGAGUCUUAACUGGGCGUUAAGUUGCAGGGUAUAGACCCGAAACCCGGUGAUCUAGCCAUGGGCAGGUUGAAGGUUGGGUAACACUAACUGGAGGACCGAACCGACUAAUGUUGAAAAAUUAGCGGAUGACUUGUGGCUGGGGGUGAAAGGCCAAUCAAACCGGGAGAUAGCUGGUUCUCCCCGAAAGCUAUUUAGGUAGCGCCUCGUGAAUUCAUCUCCGGGGGUAGAGCACUGUUUCGGCAAGGGGGUCAUCCCGACUUACCAACCCGAUGCAAACUGCGAAUACCGGAGAAUGUUAUCACGGGAGACACACGGCGGGUGCUAACGUCCGUCGUGAAGAGGGAAACAACCCAGACCGCCAGCUAAGGUCCCAAAGUCAUGGUUAAGUGGGAAACGAUGUGGGAAGGCCCAGACAGCCAGGAUGUUGGCUUAGAAGCAGCCAUCAUUUAAAGAAAGCGUAAUAGCUCACUGGUCGAGUCGGCCUGCGCGGAAGAUGUAACGGGGCUAAACCAUGCACCGAAGCUGCGGCAGCGACACUAUGUGUUGUUGGGUAGGGGAGCGUUCUGUAAGCCUGUGAAGGUGUGCUGUGAGGCAUGCUGGAGGUAUCAGAAGUGCGAAUGCUGACAUAAGUAACGAUAAAGCGGGUGAAAAGCCCGCUCGCCGGAAGACCAAGGGUUCCUGUCCAACGUUAAUCGGGGCAGGGUGAGUCGACCCCUAAGGCGAGGCCGAAAGGCGUAGUCGAUGGGAAACAGGUUAAUAUUCCUGUACUUGGUGUUACUGCGAAGGGGGGACGGAGAAGGCUAUGUUGGCCGGGCGACGGUUGUCCCGGUUUAAGCGUGUAGGCUGGUUUUCCAGGCAAAUCCGGAAAAUCAAGGCUGAGGCGUGAUGACGAGGCACUACGGUGCUGAAGCAACAAAUGCCCUGCUUCCAGGAAAAGCCUCUAAGCAUCAGGUAACAUCAAAUCGUACCCCAAACCGACACAGGUGGUCAGGUAGAGAAUACCAAGGCGCUUGAGAGAACUCGGGUGAAGGAACUAGGCAAAAUGGUGCCGUAACUUCGGGAGAAGGCACGCUGAUAUGUAGGUGAAGCGACUUGCUCGUGGAGCUGAAAUCAGUCGAAGAUACCAGCUGGCUGCAACUGUUUAUUAAAAACACAGCACUGUGCAAACACGAAAGUGGACGUAUACGGUGUGACGCCUGCCCGGUGCCGGAAGGUUAAUUGAUGGGGUCAGCGCAAGCGAAGCUCUUGAUCGAAGCCCCGGUAAACGGCGGCCGUAACUAUAACGGUCCUAAGGUAGCGAAAUUCCUUGUCGGGUAAGUUCCGACCUGCACGAAUGGCGUAAUGAUGGCCAGGCUGUCUCCACCCGAGACUCAGUGAAAUUGAACUCGCUGUGAAGAUGCAGUGUACCCGCGGCAAGACGGAAAGACCCCGUGAACCUUUACUAUAGCUUGACACUGAACAUUGAGCCUUGAUGUGUAGGAUAGGUGGGAGGCUUUGAAGUGUGGACGCCAGUCUGCAUGGAGCCGACCUUGAAAUACCACCCUUUAAUGUUUGAUGUUCUAACGUUGACCCGUAAUCCGGGUUGCGGACAGUGUCUGGUGGGUAGUUUGACUGGGGCGGUCUCCUCCUAAAGAGUAACGGAGGAGCACGAAGGUUGGCUAAUCCUGGUCGGACAUCAGGAGGUUAGUGCAAUGGCAUAAGCCAGCUUGACUGCGAGCGUGACGGCGCGAGCAGGUGCGAAAGCAGGUCAUAGUGAUCCGGUGGUUCUGAAUGGAAGGGCCAUCGCUCAACGGAUAAAAGGUACUCCGGGGAUAACAGGCUGAUACCGCCCAAGAGUUCAUAUCGACGGCGGUGUUUGGCACCUCGAUGUCGGCUCAUCACAUCCUGGGGCUGAAGUAGGUCCCAAGGGUAUGGCUGUUCGCCAUUUAAAGUGGUACGCGAGCUGGGUUUAGAACGUCGUGAGACAGUUCGGUCCCUAUCUGCCGUGGGCGCUGGAGAACUGAGGGGGGCUGCUCCUAGUACGAGAGGACCGGAGUGGACGCAUCACUGGUGUUCGGGUUGUCAUGCCAAUGGCACUGCCCGGUAGCUAAAUGCGGAAGAGAUAAGUGCUGAAAGCAUCUAAGCACGAAACUUGCCCCGAGAUGAGUUCUCCCUGACUCCUUGAGAGUCCUGAAGGAACGUUGAAGACGACGACGUUGAUAGGCCGGGUGUGUAAGCGCAGCGAUGCGUUGAGCUAACCGGUACUAAUGAACCGUGAG
Molecule: ribosomal RNA, 2322 nt
Filed under: Escherichia coli
Lineage: Bacteria; Pseudomonadati; Pseudomonadota; Gammaproteobacteria; Enterobacterales; Enterobacteriaceae
Description: partial 23S ribosomal RNA
Rfam family: Bacterial large subunit ribosomal RNA
Source: RNAcentral